Molecule: non-coding RNA, 1039 nt
Organism: Phasianus colchicus (ring-necked pheasant)
Lineage: Eukaryota; Metazoa; Chordata; Aves; Galliformes; Phasianidae
Source: RefSeq, a predicted model, not a curated record
AGCCACAGUGAUCUCACAGUAACACCACAUAGAACCUGAGUAGUGGCUGGGGCAGAAUUACACAACCAGAUCUGAGGAGAUGGUGAAACCAGGGGAGAGCGGCUGGGAUGGCAGCGGGUCCAGCAGAGCCCACCUGUCUGCUUUUCUUCUCCAUGGUCUGUGCACAGCCUCACUGCCUGGAGCAGGAAUUGCCCACCCCAACCCCUGCUCACACUCAGAAAUUGCCUUGCCAGUAGCUCUCUUCCAUUUCAGACAAGAUCUAUUUUUACUCCGAUCCCUGAUGAGCCGAUGCAGGUCUAUAAAGACUGAUUUGAAAUUCUGUAGCUCAGCAGGAGCGUCACAGGCAGGAGAAAACAGGCUGCGAGGGUGUGUGUUUCUUGGCCACGUUCUCUGCUGCUGUCAGUAUUUACAGGCAGGCUGGGAAGCCACAUCUUUUUCCUCUAACAGCUUUCUCCAGGCUGAUCCACUAUCUAAUGCAGAAAGUACAUCUCCGAGUUGCCACUUGCAGACAUUUGACAGCCUUCAAGAAACUGAUGCAGUGCCACAGAGCCAAGAUCCCCCAGAAAGCCGUGCUGAUAAAGCUACAGACAGUCACAUCGACCUGAAUUUUUAAAGAAAGAAAAACAACGCCAUGGAAAAAAGCUUCUGAAGGAGGGAGAUGAGAAGGGGGUCAAAGUUUACAACCAACAGUGACAUCCAUCCCAGGAGAAGGAGGAAGUAUUGAAGCAGAUGCUCUGACCAGAGAUGCCACAUGGGAGGGCCUGGCAUGCGGAGCCAGCAUUGCAGGGAAGCGCAGCGCCCUGCCAGAGGGGAGAGGGGCAGAGGAGUUGCCUUCCUGCAUGGGGCCGACCGAGAAGGAGGUGCUGGGGCUUCACAGGAACGCCUGUCCACGUCCCACUGUCACCUCUGGUUUCUGUUUUUUUCUGAGAACAAAACCAAUGCAGUCACCCAAACACACUCUGCAGGACUCUGGGAUCAUGAAACAGGAUCCCUGACAAUGGAUACUGCAUUAAAAUCAAAAGCUAUUUUGGCACAUGCA